UCAAGUGAAUAAGUGCAUGUGGUGGAUGCCUUGGCGAUUACAGGCGAUGAAGGACGUUGUAGCCUGCGAAAAGCUGCGGGGAGCUGGCAAACAAGCUUUGAUCCGCAGAUGUCCGAAUGGGGAAACCCACCCGCAAGGGUAUCGAUGGCUGAAUACAUAGGUCAUCGAGGCGAACGUGGCGAACUGAAACAUCUAAGUAGCCACAGGAAAAGAAAUCAACCGAGAUUCCGAAAGUAGUGGCGAGCGAAAUCGGAGCAGCCUGUGCGUGAUAGUCGAUGCGUUAGCGAAACGGCAUGGAAAGGCCGGCCAUAGCGGGUGAUAGCCCCUUGCGCGAAAACGGAUCGGUGGUACUGAGCGCACGACAAGUAGGGCGGGACACGUGUAAUCCUGUCUGAAGAUGGGGGGACCAUCCUCCAAGGCUAAAUACUCGUAAUCGACCGAUAGUGAACAAGUACUGUGAAGGAAAGGCGAAAAGAACCCCGGGAGGGGAGUGAAAUAGAUCCUGAAACCGCAUGCAUACAAACAGUCGGAGCCUCGCAAGGGGUGACGGCGUACCUUUUGUAUAAUGGGUCAGCGACUUACGUUCAGUGGCAAGCUUAACCAGAUAGGGGAGGCGCAGGGAAACCGAGUCCGAACAGGGCGCCAUAGUCGCUGGGCGUAGACCCGAAACCAGGUGAUCUAUCCAUGGUCAGGAUGAAGGUUGGGUAACACCAGCUGGAGGUCCGAACCGACUAAUGUUGCAAAAUUAGCGGAUGAACUGUGGAUAGGGGUGAAAGGCUAAUCAAACCUGGAAAUAGCUGGUUCUCCCCGAAAACUAUUUAGGUAGUGCGUCAUGUAUUGCUCCAGGGGGUAGAGCACUGUAAUGGUUGUGGGGGCCAUCGCGGCUUACCACGCCAUAGCAAACUCCGAAUACCUGGAAGUAUGAGCAUGGCAGACAGUCGCCGGGUGCUAACGUCCGGCGGCAAGAGGGAAACAACCCAGACCUACAGCUAAGGUCCCAAAGUGUGGCUAAGUGGGAAACGAAGUGGGAAGGCUAAAACAGUCAGGAUGUUGGCUUAGAAGCAGCCAUCAUUUAAAGAAAGCGUAAUAGCUCACUGAUCGAGUCGUCCUGCGCGGAAGAUGUAACGGGGCUAAGCCAUGCACCGAAGCUUGGGCUGUACUCUUUGAGUACGGGGUAGGGGAGCGUUCUGUAAGCCUGUGAAGGUGUCUCGCAAGGGAUGCUGGAGGUAUCAGAAGUGCGAAUGCUGACAUGAGUAGCGUUAAAGCGGGUGAAAAGCCCGCUCGCCGUAAGCGCAAGGUUUCCUACGCAACGUUCAUCGGCGUAGGGUGAGUCGGCCCCUAAGGUGAGGGCGAAAGCCAUAGCUGAUGGGAAGCUGGUUAAUAUUCCAGCACCGAUUCCAGUGCGAUGGGGGGACGGAUCGUGGAAGGUUGUCCGGGUGUUGGAUGUCCCGGUUCCUGACCUGUAGGUGUCUGGCAGGCAAAUCCGCCAGGCGCAUGCCGAGGGGUUGGGACGAGUGAGCUUGCUCGCGAAGCAACUGGAAGUGGUUCCAAGAAAAGCCUCUAAGCUUCAGCUGGAAAUCGACCGUACCGCAAACCAACACUGGUGCGCGAGAUGAGUAUUCUCAGGCGCUUGAGAGAACUCGGGAGAAGGAACUCGGCAAAUUGACACCGUAACUUCGGAAGAAGGUGUGCCCUGGUAGCUUGAGUGUGAACAACACGAGGGCCAAGGGGUUGCAAAAAAUAGGUGGCUGCGACUGUUUAUUAAAAACACAGCACUCUGCAAACACGAAAGUGGACGUAUAGGGUGUGACGCCUGCCCGGUGCCGGAAGGUUAAGUGAUGGGGUGCAAGCUCUUGAUCGAAGCCCCGGUAAACGGCGGCCGUAACUAUAACGGUCCUAAGGUAGCGAAAUUCCUUGUCGGGU
Molecule: ribosomal RNA, 1923 nt
Filed under: human oral metagenome
Description: bacterial LSU rRNA
Rfam family: Bacterial large subunit ribosomal RNA
Source: RNAcentral